This 29-nucleotide non-coding RNA is filed under the name Mus musculus (house mouse). The record is from RNAcentral. RNAcentral also lists the same sequence under 1 other name. Lineage: Eukaryota; Metazoa; Chordata; Mammalia; Rodentia; Muridae.
UAAUUCAACCCUUCUUUGAAUGUUCCUGA